RNAcentral lists this long non-coding RNA (825 nucleotides) under Salvator merianae (Argentine black and white tegu). RNAcentral's name for it is "lncRNA (ENSSMRG00000020208.1)". The record is from RNAcentral. Lineage: Eukaryota; Metazoa; Chordata; Lepidosauria; Squamata; Teiidae.
GUUGUCUCUCGCACUCACUUACUCUUCCUUCUUUCGCCACUGUGCCAGACAAAUUUAAAUGUAUCUGUUCAAGUGGAGAUAAUCCAUGCAAAUCAGAGCCACUGCUCCCAAGUGCUCGAUUCACAAAGAGAACUCUGCUUGAGGAGGUCACUCGUUCACAGCUGCUCCUCCCAUUAUAUUUCUCCCCCUUAUAGCAGAACUGCUGCUUGUAUACACUGACUGAAAGGACUCAAUUUACUGCAACUGCUGCCUGGUUUUACUUACAACUUUCUUUAAAGCGGGACAUACCUUCCAGCUAUCUUGCAAAGAAAGAUGUAAGUCUUUAAAGACAUCUUCUCAUAUGGUGUGGAAAAGUAUGGUUUUAAAGUUAUGCCUCCAUAGCAGCAGGCCUAGAAGCGACAGUAAUCAAGUCUGGAGCCCACCUCCAGUCUCAUAUGGCUCUUGAACUUGACAUCACUGAGCACUAGAAUCCACUGGCAGCUGAACUACUCUGGAGCUGGUAGGAUACUGAACAUCUCCCACUGAAGGCAGAGCAAGUGAAGUCACAGGUAGGUCAAGUACACCUAUAUACAGUGCAUAAAUUGUAUUUUGAAGGGUAGCAUAGUUGAANGAACUGAGUGCUAGAGUAGAACCUAGGAGGUUCAAAUCCCCAGUCAGCUAUGAAACUACACAGGGUGACUCUGAAUUGCUCAUUGUCUCACAGCCUAAUAUACCUCUCAAGGUUGCUGUAAAGAUAAAAUGGAAGAGAGGAGAAUAGUGUUUGAUAUCAAGGGUGUGCUCACACUUUGGCCUAGUAAGCACUUUGUUGAGGCCUGAGUGCCUGAG